GGCUGGCCUAGGGCAUCUCCACCCUGGGGCAAAAGUGGGAUUCUGGGCAGCAUAAAGCCUCGGGUGUUUAUGUGGGAGAGAGGGGAGAAGAGAGAGCCAGACGGUGGAGCCUUGCAGGCCGGGAGGAGCCUUGCAGGCCGGGCUCCCUCUCCUCCCUGAGCCUCAUUCUGCUCAUCUGCAUCUGGGGCAAGAAGCACACCAUCGGGUGGCCCAGACCUUGCCCUUCCCACACUUGGAGAAACUCUGCCUUUAUGGGUCUCCUGUGGGCCCGAGCCUUGCUUCCCGCUGGGAAGACUCCAGGUUCCUGGCAGCUAGGACACGGGCAUGUGACCCAAGCUGGGGUAUCAGGUCCACAGGUGCCAGACAGAGAGGGCAGGAACGGGGGCAGGAACACCCACCUUCGGAAGCCAGACCUGCAGUCCUGGGACCGCAACUUCACCUCAAAGGCUCCUGGCAUAAACGCACUUUCUAGACCAAACUCUGACAUGGCACUUCCUGUCUAUCAGGGUUCCCAGCGCUUACGUAGAUUAACUCAGUUAAGCCUCUCGACAACCCUCUGAGAUGGGCCCUAUGAUCUCGAUCUUCAGAAGAGGAGACGGGGCACAGAGAGGUUGAGCGACUUGCCCAAGGGUGCAGAGUGGGGAUGUGUGCCCCAGCUGGCCAGCGUCCCUCGGGUCAGUCUAGACCACAGUCCACAGAGCUCCCAGCCCCCUCUGGGAAUUUCCUGGAAGGCAGGUACGAGAAAAUUAAAAUGGCACACAUGGCCUGCAUCAGUUAUAUUUCCACUGGGUAACACGGGUCUGCAGGAAGCGCCGACCUUGGAAGUCCUAAAUUGACAAAUACACUGCGCAUUUCCCCUGU
Molecule: long non-coding RNA, 861 nt
Organism: Neogale vison (American mink)
Lineage: Eukaryota; Metazoa; Chordata; Mammalia; Carnivora; Mustelidae
Exons: 2
Source: RefSeq, a predicted model, not a curated record